Rattus norvegicus (Norway rat) is the source of this 1693-nucleotide non-coding RNA. NCBI's taxonomy places the organism in Eukaryota, Metazoa, Chordata, Mammalia, Rodentia, Muridae. The record is from RefSeq and is a predicted model, not a curated record.
CUCUGUCCCCUCUCCCUCCCCUCCCCCCAUUCCUCUCUCUCCUUUCCAAGGCUCAUGGGUGGCCUCUACUUUCUCCCUCUCCCUCUCCCUCUCCCUUUCCCUCUCCCUUUCCCUCCCCCUCCCCCUCUCCCUCUCCCUCCCGGUCUCUGUCUGUCUCUACCUCUACUACCUUCUCAAUUCCCCUUCCCUUGCCCUGAAUAAAGUUCUAUUCUAUACUAGACCAUUGUGUGGCUGGUCCCCUCAGCGUAGGCCCACAGAGGCUCCCCCUUCCCCCACACCUUACCACACAUCCACCAAACAAUAUCCCUCCUCUAUUUUUUUUUAUAAACACAUCACAGUGGGCAAUGACCAAAGGUAGACAGUUGCCAUGGUAUCCUCAAAAGGAAACACACGCACUGUGGUCACUCCCCACAGCCUUACACUUGCAUCAUCCCAAAGGGGAACUCUAGGAAUCUAUAAACUCUCCAGAGAGGUGGUGCCACAAACGAUUCUCCUCAGCAGGGAGACUGCUCAGCAGGGAGACUGCUCGUAGAAUGCUGUAGCCUGUAAUAUUUACAAAGUGAUGGGUAUGGUGGCACAUGCAUCAGUACAUGGGAGGUGAAGGUCGCUUUUGUAAGAGUAUGUCAUCACAGCAACAAGGAAACAAAACAAAGGUACCCACUGAGUUAACUCAACUGGUUCCCCAUUACCUUGUCAUAAAAAUCUAAACUACGGAGAGGGAGCUGGUUUAGUGGAUAAAGCACUUGCUGUACAAGUCUGAAGAGCAGAGUUUCCAUCCCCAGAAGCCAGGGAAACGCCAGGAAAACACUACUUGCAAUCCUAGCAUCUGGUGGAUAGAAGAUGGGGAUCUUCAGGGCAGAAAGGCUCGUUAGCUAAGCAAGCCAAAUCCAGUUCUCUCCCCUCUUCCCUUGCCCUGGGUGUUGACAUCACAUUCAAGGCACUAGGUGAGCUGCUGCCUGUGCCACACUGAACAGUCAAAGGUUGGUCCCCAGCUACAUGAAGCAACCCUUUCAUGAUGAGAACCAUGCUUAUUACAUUCCUGAGCCGAGUACGUCCCAGAGCCUAAGGCCCUACGGCAGGAACCUCACUAUAGGGUCUUCCAAGCUUUCAACCACCUUCAUGCAAUAAUAUUGCCCAGGUUAUAAGAAAACACCUCAAAUAAACGACACUUUAUCCUCCACAAGUGUCAACAGAAGCAUCUGCAUCCUCUCAGGAGCUCCUGAAGUAGCUGAAGCUGCCUUGUAGCCUCUCUCAGAACUCAUCAUUUGAAAGAGGUGAGGAAUGGCCGUCAGCAUAAGCACUGUCCUUGCCUCUAACACACGGUUUUAGAGAUACAGGUCUUACCCAGAGGAGAAAGAAUCUGGCUGGCUGUACAUCUCUCUGGAAGUCCUGAAUAACGAGCCCCGUGCCUCUCCACAGGCACAGCCGUGCCAACAGCAGGGACUCAUGUCCACAAGCAGUGACAGGCUGUGAGUUUUCUGCCUACCUCGAUGGCUAUCAUGACCUCUGUUAUUUAAGCAAACUUUGCUAUUUAAAGAUGAUCAUGUCCGUUUUUCAAACAUUCUUUUCAAACCUGAGACAAGGAGGUGGGGUGGGGAGUAGGGAUGGGGAGGGUAGCAGGAACUUGCCAUGCGGUGACGUACUUGGGGGAGAGUCAGAUCCCUGUCUGCUGUUACUUAAGUGUACAGGACCC